GCAGUAGGGAAUCUUCCGCAAUGGGCGCAGGCCUGACGGAGCAACGCCGCGUGAAUGAUGAAGGCCUUCGGGUCGUAAAGUUCUGUCCUUAGGGACGAACCACCAGUAUAGGUAAUGAUACUGGUCUGACGGUACCUAUGGAGGAAGCCAUGGCUAACUACGUGCCAGCAGCCGCGGUAAUACGUAGAUGGCAAGCGUUGUCCGGAAUCACUGGGCGUAAAGGGUACGCAGGCGGAUAUACAAGUCAAAUGUGAAAUGUACCGGCUUAACCGGUGAUGUGCAUUUGAAACUGUUUAUCUUGAGUCUAGGAGAGGAGAGCGGAAUUCCUGGUGUAGCGGUGGAAUGCGUAGAUAUCAGGAAGAACACCAGUGGCGAAGGCGGCUCUCUGGCCUAAGACUGACGCUCAUGUACGAAAGCUGGGGGAGCGAACGGGAUUAGAUACCCCGGUAGUCCCAGCCGUAAACGCUGGACACUAGGUGCUGGAGGUUCGAAUCCUUCAGUGCCGUAGUUAACGCAAUAAGUGUCCCGCCUGGGGAAUACGGUCGCAAGACUGAAACUCAAAGG
RNAcentral lists this ribosomal RNA (564 nucleotides) under uncultured Bacillota bacterium. RNAcentral's name for it is "bacterial SSU rRNA". It matches the Rfam family "Bacterial small subunit ribosomal RNA", at positions 351 to 907 of the family's 1533-position model. Lineage: Bacteria; Bacillati; Bacillota. The record is from RNAcentral.